UGUUGUGUAAUUCGAAUACAAGGCGUAAACAAUGAUUGAUAGGUAAUUCGUGUCUUAUUUACCAGUGCAGUAGGAAAUAUACGUGCAGGUAAAAAAAAAAAAAAAAAAUGGCAGGAAAAGGGAAUCCAAAUUUAGAAAAAGUUCUUGAGGCUCAGUAUCUGAUCAAGAAGAUGCAUGAAGUUUCACAGCUGAUGGGUGUGGAUCUCGAUCCGAAAACUCUGGUGCUCAGCAUGCGGCUGAUGGAACACGGAGCUAAUCCAGCAGCUCUUGCAAAAUUAAUCAAAGAUAUCAAAAGAACUGUAAGUAUUCUGGAAGAGACAGACAAGCAAGACAAA
This is a long non-coding RNA of Schistocerca serialis cubense, 335 nucleotides long. RefSeq lists it as uncharacterized. Lineage: Eukaryota; Metazoa; Arthropoda; Insecta; Orthoptera; Acrididae. The record is from RefSeq and is a predicted model, not a curated record. The transcript is spliced from 2 exons.